RNAcentral lists this ribosomal RNA (253 nucleotides) under uncultured bacterium. RNAcentral's name for it is "partial 16S ribosomal RNA". It matches the Rfam family "Bacterial small subunit ribosomal RNA", at positions 524 to 776 of the family's 1533-position model. The record is from RNAcentral.
UACGAAGGGUGCAAGCGUUACUCGGAAUUACUGGGCGUAAAGCGUGCGCAGGCGGUUUUGUAAGCCAGAUGUGAAAGCCCCGGGCUCAACCUGGGAAUGGCAUUUGGGACUGCAAGGCUGGAGUUUGGCAGAGGAGACUGGAAUUCCUGGUGUAGCAGUGAAAUGCGUAGAUAUCAGGAGGAAUACCGAUGGCGAAGGCAGGUCUCUGGGCUAUAACUGACGCUCAUGCACGAAAGCGUGGGGAUCAAACAGG